UACGUAGGGUGCAAGCGUUAAUCGGAAUUACUGGGCGUAAAGCGUGCGCAGGCGGUUUUGUAAGUCUGUCGUGAAAUCCCCGGGCUCAACCUGGGAAUUGCGAUGGAGACUGCAAGGCUAGAAUCUGGCAGAGGGGGGUAGAAUUCCACGUGUAGCAGUGAAAUGCGUAGAUAUCUGGAGGAAUAUCGGUGGCGAAGGCGGCAUCCUGGACCGGCAUUGACGCUGAGGAGCGAAAGCUAGGGGAGCAAACGGG
Molecule: ribosomal RNA, 253 nt
Filed under: uncultured bacterium
Lineage: Bacteria
Description: partial 16S ribosomal RNA
Rfam family: Bacterial small subunit ribosomal RNA
Source: RNAcentral